RNAcentral lists this ribosomal RNA (282 nucleotides) under Leuconostoc gasicomitatum. RNAcentral describes it as "Leuconostoc gelidum subsp. gasicomitatum partial 16S ribosomal RNA". It matches the Rfam family "Bacterial small subunit ribosomal RNA", at positions 365 to 641 of the family's 1533-position model. The record is from RNAcentral. Lineage: Bacteria; Bacillati; Bacillota; Bacilli; Lactobacillales; Lactobacillaceae.
UCCACAAUGGGCGAAACCCUGAUGGAGCAACGCCGCGUGUGUGAUGAAGGCUUUCGGGUCGUAAAGCACUGUCGUAUGGGAAGAAAAGUUAAGGUAGGGAAUGACCUUAGCCUGACGGUACCAUACCAGAAAGGGACGGCUAAAUACGUGCCAGCAGCCGCGGUAAUACGUAUGUCCCGAGCGUUAUCCGGAUUUAUUGGGCGUAAAGCGAGCGCAGACGGUUGGUUAAGUCUGAUGUGAAAGCCCGGAGCUCAACUCCGGAAAGGCAUGGAAACUGGUAAC